This 410-nucleotide ribosomal RNA is filed under the name Acanthamoeba lenticulata. Its description in RNAcentral is "SSU rRNA". It matches the Rfam family "Eukaryotic small subunit ribosomal RNA", at positions 743 to 1085 of the family's 1831-position model. Lineage: Eukaryota; Discosea; Longamoebia; Acanthamoebidae. The record is from RNAcentral.
CCCAGAUGUUUACCGUGAAAAAAUUAGAGUGUUCAAAGCGGGCAGAUAUUUUUCCUGCCACCGAAUACAUUAGCAUGGGAUAAUGGAAUAGGACCCUGACCUCCUAUUUUCAGUUGGUUUUGUUUACAGCGAGGUUAUAUCAGGGUAAUGAUUAAUAGGGAUAGUUGGGGGCAUUAAUAUUUAAUUGUCAGAGGUGAAAUUCUUGGAUUUAUGAAAGAUUAACUUCUGCGAAAGCGUUUGCCAAGGAUGUUUUCAUUAAUCAAGAACGAAAGUUAGGGGAUCGAAGACGAUCAGAUACCGUCGUAGUCUUAACCAUAAACGAUGCCGACCAGCGAUUAGGAGACGUUGAAUACAAAACACCGCCGUUAAUCCUUUCGGGGGUUAAUGGUUGGUGAAUGACUCCCCUAGCA